Molecule: transfer RNA, 73 nt
Filed under: Ailuropoda melanoleuca (giant panda)
Lineage: Eukaryota; Metazoa; Chordata; Mammalia; Carnivora; Ursidae
Rfam family: tRNA
About the family: Transfer RNA (tRNA) molecules are approximately 80 nucleotides in length.
Source: Rfam by way of RNAcentral
GCCUGGCUUGCUCAGUUGGUAGAGCACAUGACUAUUGAUCUCAGGGUUGUGAGUUCAAACCUCACAUUGGGUG